UCGAUUUGCCUCUAAUGUGCGCUCUCCUGUCGUGCAGUCUCUCUCCUGCUGUAAUUGCUCGUGGCUCGGCUUGUGGCUGGAGCACUGAAGUCCUCCGAGUAGUGCGCGAAGCGUGUGCAAGCUUCUGCUACGGAGAUCUUUGCGCCAUCACGAUUCAGAUUGAGGCUACGUGCGCAGUAUAACCACUCGGGCGGGGAGUGACCAGCAACUAGGGUGACUCCGCGGCAUCACAGGCUGCUGCUCUGUUUGGGAACAUAGUCCCCUUUUGGGUUACUGCUUUCCACUGGCGCGACAGGUCGUGGGCUACUGUGGUCGGGUUCUAUCGACGCAGCGCAGACCCCCAGCACUGCGCACUCUCACCUGCUGACUACCUGCACUCGCGGCAACACCGCUGACCGCAUAGGCUAUUUUGUGUUUAAGUUUUGAUUUGAUUUAUUUUGUGGUUGCAUAGGUGGCAAUGUGCAACACCCCUAUUUUGUGAUUAUUUUGUGGACGUGGGGUAUUCGUGAGAGGCAUACCCCUCACAUGUU
Long non-coding RNA from Engraulis encrasicolus (European anchovy), 530 nucleotides. RefSeq lists it as uncharacterized. The record is from RefSeq and is a predicted model, not a curated record. The transcript is spliced from 3 exons. Lineage: Eukaryota; Metazoa; Chordata; Actinopteri; Clupeiformes; Engraulidae.